RNAcentral lists this ribosomal RNA (692 nucleotides) under uncultured bacterium. RNAcentral describes it as "bacterial SSU rRNA". It matches the Rfam family "Bacterial small subunit ribosomal RNA", at positions 505 to 1196 of the family's 1533-position model. The record is from RNAcentral.
GUGCCAGCAGCCGCGGUAAUACGUAGGGCGCAAGCGUUAUCCGGAAUUAUUGGGCGUAAAGAGCUCGUAGGCGGUUUGUCGCGUCUGCUGUGAAAACGCGGGGCUCAACUCCGCGCCUGCAGUGGGUACGGGCAGACUAGAGUGCGGUAGGGGAGAUUGGAAUUCCUGGUGUAGCGGUGGAAUGCGCAGAUAUCAGGAGGAACACCGAUGGCGAAGGCAGAUCUCUGGGCCGUGACUGACGCUGAGGAGCGAAAGGGUGGGGAGCAAACAGGCUUAGAUACCCUGGUAGUCCACCCCGUAAACGUUGGGAACUAGUUGUGGGGGCCUUUCCACGGUCUCCGUGACGCAGCUAACGCAUUAAGUUCCCCGCCUGGGGAGUACGGCCGCAAGGCUAAAACUCAAAGGAAUUGACGGGGACCCGCACAAGCGGCGGAGCAUGCGGAUUAAUUCGAUGCAACGCGAAGAACCUUACCAAGGCUUGACAUACACCGGAAACGUCCAGAGAUGGUCGCCCCUUUUUGGUCGGUGUACAGGUGGUGCAUGGUUGUCGUCAGCUCGUGUCGUGAGAUGUUGGGUUAAGUCCCGCAACGAGCGCAACCCUCGUUCUAUGUUGCCAGCACGUUAUGGUGGGAACUCAUGGGAUACUGCCGGGGUCAACUCGGAGGAAGGUGGGGAUGACGUCAAAUCAUCAU